UCCUUUUUUAUUUUUUUUUCCUUCUUUUUCCUUUUAAAUUCCAGCAGAGUUUAGGCUCCCUGAGAAAUAGCUUCACCCUUUAGAAAAGUGCAGAGCCUUUUCCCUGAGUAGCAAAAUGUUGAUUUGCUACCACAGGGUUGAGUGAUGGUGAUUCCCUUAUUAAACUGCACUUAGAGGCAGCGACUGUCAGGCAGGGAUGGAGAACUUCUCCGAUAAGUUGGAGCUAUUCAUUAUUAAAUUAUCUUCAUUCACUUGAACAUCUCAUUUUCAUUGAACUAGAUGAAAAGUGCUCAAAGGCAGCUGCUGCAGCGGCUUGGAGGCUGCCAGGAGCAGCAUGCAAAUGUCACUGCUGGCCUUUCUGGCUGCAUCUGACCCUUCCCAUUGGAUGGAUGGACCUCGUGGCUGGUUUUAAAUCUCCUGGAGUUGCACCUGCUGAUGGCCUGACCUUGCAGAUCUGAUUCACCAGCUCUGAGACCUGGAGUUUGAGGAGAUUGACCCCACCAGGGAAUAAGCCUACAACCCCACUGGUCACUGAAAAUCUCUUUGCUUCGCUGCCCUGGGCUCUGUGAAGUCCUUCUCACCUCUUACCCACCACUACCGUCUUCUUCCUGGUGAGGAACCGUGGGCCCCUUGGACCGGCUCCCCAACAACUGUUGCUUUUCCUUGCCAGUGAAUCUCGCCCGAAGAAGCCGCUUUGAUCAAUGUACUUGGAUUUCAGCCCUCAGCCUUGAUCAAGGCAGGGGGAGGGACGAGAGAGCGAGUACUCGCAGGCUCUUUGGGGAUGAUCUGGAAAACGAAGCUCAUUCUCCGAAAAAACCUGCUUCAAAGUAAGAGGCGUUGCUGUCAGAAUAAGAGUGAAUCAGGCAGGCAGAGGAGGAGGAGGAGGAAGGCUGCUGGGUGCCCAGAGCCCCAGCUGGGAUAGGGCUGGUGUGAAUCCAGCACGUGGCACUGCUGUGGGGGCCGGAGCUGCUGAUGGCAGAGGGCAGAAACCCAUAGUUUGGGAGGUGGGGAGGGGGAAUCUACGUCUGCCCCUGCACUUAAUUCUGUGGCAAACUGGGCUUUCUGUACUCAUUAGCUUUUUUGACUCUCCCAGCUUCCCUGGGGGACCUUGGGAGUGAGAAAGUUUUCAGAGCUGAGAACGGACUGUGUUUGCUUCCUUGGGUCAGUGGUUUCCUCUCAGUCUUUAACUGGUGGGGAUGGUGCUGCAGGUCAGGUGUUGCAGACCUGAGGACAGCUCUGGAACAGGGGCAAGGUGGACAGAGCACCCCUUUUUUGCCAGCAGGGUCUGACCGUUUCAGCCAUAAGGUCUUUGUGUGGGAUGAAGGGUUGCAUAAGGCACUGCUCAAGCUUGGAGCAGAUCAGAGCUUCUGGUUAAUGGAAAUUAAUGGCCAGGAGGAGACUUCCAGAGACUUGCUGGCUUUGUUUCCCCUACCAGUGCCUGCAGGAAUACUGUGUCAGCAGCUGUGGCAGGAAUGGGCCCUUCCUUUGAGGGCUGCAUUACCUGGAGAGAAGCACAGGAAACCGAGCAGAGACACAGAACCUGGAGUUCCCCAUGAGCAGGGAAAAGCCCUGGCCAGAAACCACCCUCCAGCAACAACCUUCCUUGCUCCAGCAAUCCUCCUCCUUCUCCGUUCCUGCUCCCACUCCCUCUCUCCCACCUUGCUCAGGUGCACACACACACACCUCUCGCAUUUCCUUUUGGCUACAGAUGGCAGGCAGGAAAAUCAGCCAGCCAGAUGUGUUUUUCAUAGCUCCCAAGCCAGGCAUAACUAAACAUUUACAUUUAUUACCAAUUAGAGGGGAAACAGACUGUAGUUUUAUGUACUGGAUGUGUCUGGAUGUAUUUCGGUGUGUGACCUUACUAAAACCCCCCCUCUCCUCCAGCAACUAAAUCUCUCUUGGUUUGGAGCAAACCCCUGGGAAGCACCUGUAGCAAUGGACCCCAUCCCGGCAUUCCAUCACCCUCUGAUUGGAUGACGUGGGUGCUGUAGCAGCCCCUGACACUCGGCCCUGUGCAAGAAAGCCUGUGCAGGGGUUUGAUCCUGAGUGAUGUUGUGUAUCCCCAGGGCCCAGAGUGCCAUGGUGGAGGUGAUAUCCAUUAACUCCAUGUAUGGAUGUGACCACAGUGCAGUGGUCAAUGGAGGGCUCAUGAGUGCCCGGGGCCCGCAGCUCCCGAGCCAACAUCACAGCAGCUCUUUAACGAUGUGUGAGCCAACAGCAAAAUGCAAAUAAAUCCAUAACCAGACUCUGAGCCUUGCUGAGAGCAGGAGGAGAGUGGGGGAUAAAUGUGCACGGUGCUAGUGAUGUCCCAACCUUUACCAGCAGGGUCACUACGGGAUUGAUGUCCUAACAAAGACUGGAUCCUGGCUGGCAAUGGUCCAGCCCUGAGGUGGUCACAGUGCCACUGCCAUGGGCUCACCUCUGCCUGACCAACACCUGAGCCAGGGCUGUUCGAGGCACAGGGGUUCAGGACAGAGUUUGCAUGUGCCCACCAAGCCUUGGAUGGGCCAACAGACUUACAGUCAGGUUGAGAUGAGGCCUUAUUGUUUCUAGGGGCAUACUGGGUUUGCUGUACUGGGUCAAUCACUCCUGCCUCUGGGCAAUGGUUAAGGUGCAAAGAAAAGCAUCUCAGUCUCCUUCUUCAGGUCACCUUGGCAAGAGAGGAAGGAGAAAUGUGUGGUGAGGCCAGGGCAUGUUGGACAACAGUAUUCUUUAAACGAGAUUGUCUCAAAUUCAUCCUGAUACAGGAUGCUGCUGCUGGGGCAGCAGCCCAGACGUGGAGGGAGAGCCAUGGGCGAUGCCGUGCAGCGGUUGUGUGCAUCCCUCCGGGGAUGCUGGGGGGAAUUAUUCCAUCGUGGGGAGCUUCAGAAAUGCAAUAUUUCAUUAGAAUUCCAUUAAACUGUUCAAACAGGUGAUUAAGAGAGGGGUGAUGAUGCAAAUCGGAGCAAAGCAGGGGCAGAUUUCCACCUGAGCCGUGGCCGCAGGGCUGAGGUCAGCUCUGUGAGGGCAAGAUUAGGAAUGGAUAAAGCUGAGACGCUGAAGUGGGUAGGAAUGAAGGGCUGCAGUAUUUUGGGAGAGCUGUUGGAGAGUGGAAGAGUGGAAAAGGUCCACCCCAACCUCAGCCCAUGGAGGAACACGUUGAUAUUCUCUAAUAAGGGCUGCAUGGAGGGGCAGCAUCUGUGGCUCCAUGCAUGGAUUUGUCCCAUCAUCCUGCAGAUCAGCAAAAGCAGGUGAUGGUUUAACUGGAGAGCUGGAUUUAAGAUUCAAAAAUAAAGUAUUAUUUUUUUCCUCCUCUCCCUUAACUUUGCUGGAGCGUGACAGGGUGGGAGCUCUUGGCAGCUGGGAUGUUAAAUGUUUUUCCACAUGGUCUCUUGAUUAUUAAUGGAUUUUAGCACUUGACAAAGUAGAAAUUAGGAGAUAAAAGCUAUUAGAAACUAAUUUGGGUAAUCACUGAUUCUGUUCCCCCAGGAGCUAUUCUGCGAGCACUGCUCCCAUCGCCACUGCCGAGGCUCAGGAGAGAAGGAAUCUCUUCCUAAGGGAGUUCUGUGGGCUUUGGGGGACCCCCCCGAUUUACAGCCUCCUGAUGAGAUGACUUGGAUGGAGCAGGCACAAUCCAAACAUCUCUCUUCUUCCAGCAGCCUCCUGGGAUUUAUAGGAUUUCCCACCCCUGGACACUAUUUGGGGUGGUUUAUGUGCCAUACUUUUUUACUGUUAUGUUGGCAAAACACCCAUAGAAACCAGUUCGGGAAAACAAGGUGGGAGAUAAAUCCUUGGUGGAGUGGGCUCUCCCAGUGAUAAAAUGGGCUACAGGUGGAGAAAUAGGUCCCUGAGACCCUUUAUCUCCCUCAAUUCCCAUCUCCCUGAGUGGAUCGAUAAUGCCAGGGGCAAGGGAAAGGAGAGGAACUAUCGCAGGCAAUCAUAUUAAGGGAAAAGCUGGAAGGUGGUAACCGAUGUAGCAACCACUGCUGAUUUUGAGGCAGAUGGGCUGGGAGGGUUUGUGUAUCCCAGGAGGGUUUGUGUACGGAGAAGAGGAUGCCUGUAGGCUGGGAGAGCACUUUUAAAAAUAAUUUGACUGAUUUCUCUCCUUCUUUCUUUCCAUCCAGUCAGUCUCUGCUCCUGGCAUGUGUAGCAGGAGCAGGAGGUCUGUCUUGCAGAUUUGUCUGGGAUAUUAUUCCACAGAGCUUUACCCUCUAGCAAGACCCCUCCAAAAUGUAUCCUGUCAUCCCACCAAAAUUCAACUGUCUCAACCUUUGAUCCAGAAGCACAGCCCAGAGGUCCCCUGGGAGCAUUGUGGGGGGUUCAGUGUCCCAGGGGGGUUCUCUCCUGGGACCACUGUCCCAGGAUGGGGGGUCAGGGUCCAGCCUGAUGAGGUAAGUCCUCCAGCCAGGCUCCUGGCCAUGAAUCAGCCAUGCCCCUGGCUCCAGCAGGGCUGAUUUACGCCCGCUGAGGUGCCAGCCCAGGGCAGGGCACCCGUAUUUAAUGCAUGGUGGUAGCACUGCUGGCAGCAGCAGCUCCCAGCCCUGAGCCUGGGGAGGAAACAGCAAUUUGCCGUCGUCAUUCUCAGUCCCCAGCAAAUUUCUCUGCUUGCAGAAUGGGAUGCUGUGAAGAGGCUUUAUUUGAUGGUGUCUAAAGAGGUCUCCCCAGGGUCUCCUUGAGAGCUGGGAGCAGCUGAGGGCACUCAAGGAGGCCAAGAGGUAGUGCAGGCGGUGGGGUUGGGUGGGUAAGGUUGUGCUUUUCCAUCUUUGCUUAAGGAGGAGUCAGUGGGGAAGGAAGAAGGGAGCUGAGGAACUGGGAUCGGGGAUUCCUGAGAUCCCCACCAGUUUGAGCCACCCCAGGUCCUCACUGGGCUCCUAGUGGGGACACAGGAGGGUGGCUGGGAUACCUCCUGCAUACCUGGGUUCACAGAAACCUCCCUCUUACCUGCACUGUCCUGCUUCUCCUGCCUUCUUCAGAGACUGCGGCAGGAAGCUGAGGAGGAGGAAGAGGGAGGAAGAAGAUGAGGUUGUCAUCAUUUCAAGAGCCUGUUAAUUGUCCCCUCAUGCUCUCUAAGAAGUGGCCAUUUACCACAGGCCCUGUGAAUGCUUUCUGGAGAGAAAACACCAGGGAGCAUGGCAUGGGAGGAUGAGAGCCUCGAUGGAUUUGAAAGAGGAAAAACCCAGCCCACCGUCGGCAAAGGGAGAAAAUAGACCCAAAGAGAGAGAAGCUGAAAAUGCGUUGAAGCAGCUGAUGACAGCCCAAACAGCAGGAGAAGGCUCCUGCCUGCCAAUUAACGAGGCUCUGGUGCUAAUUUGCCACCUUGACUGCACUUCUGAGCUUGUCAGGAGAAGGGGGAGGAAAAAAAAAGAUGAGGCUAAAAAAGAGGUUUUGGCUCAUCUCUUGGCUAUGCAGAUGCCACUGGGCUUCAGAGAGGCAGUGGGAAGCAGGGAGGCUGAUGGCAAACCCCACCACCCACGAGCCUGGAGUGUGAAGAGAACAAUGACAAGUUUGUGGGCUUGUGUUGGCAGAGCAGCUCCGGAGCAGGACACUGCCCAACCAGGGGAUGCUGGUUUCCCAGGGAUCACAUCCCACCAUCUGCUGGGUUAGUCGGGAGAGUGAGUGGUGAUCCCAUGCGUGCCCAGGGGCAUCUCUGGUACCUGUGGUGAAACUGUGUUAUAAGGAAGAAGGUGGAGCAGUCCCGUGCUGGCAUGGAGAGGUCUGCAGGCAAACUGGUAUCGCCUGCCUCCCCCAGAAAUGCUGUCAAACAGCAGAGCAGAUCUGUUGGCAGCUGCCUGGUGGUUCUGUGCACCUAACAGAGCCAGAGGAGCCCUGGGAAAAUGCUCAGCAUAAAGCCUCCUGCCAAGCCAAACCUGUGAUUCUCACUUCUUGCCCAUCCUGCAGCCCAAACCAAGAGACCAUGGUGAUGGAUUUCAAGCAACAUCUGCACCAGCAUGCAGUUUGCACGCAAAGAAAGAGUGUUACCCUCCUCAGCCCUCCCUCCUCUCCUGUGAUGUUUUAUUCCCUGCACAUUCCAUGUUCUCCCAGGCUGACACAGCAUCAGCUGGGAGCUAUGAGAGGGUAAACUGAGGCAGGCUAGAGCAAGGAUGCAGAUUUAGCCCCACAGCAUCUCUCCAUCCUGGCUCGUCAUGGAAAAACUGUCCUGGCUGUUUCGGCACAGCCUGAUAUGGUGAUGCCCUUGGCACACAGGGCUGAAGGCUCAGCCAGUGCUGCAGAAAAGGGGUGAAAACAGGAAGGAGGAAAAGGGUGUAAGUUAGAGAGCUGGAGCUGUGAGCUGUUUGGUUCAGCUGUAGCCCAUCACUGGCAGUCUCAGGGUGGGACACGGAGGUGGGACCAGCCCCCAUCUGGGAGCCGUGAGCUCUUCCUGGGGAGAACUCUGCAGAUAACCCCCUCCUGCUGCUGGGCCUGGGGGUGAAACAUCCCAGCCUUUCCCCGGCUUCCUUUUCCCUGGCAGAGCUGCUGAAUAAAUGUGUCCAGAGGGAACCGAGGUGUCUGCAGUCAAGCAAGUGAGGAGCUCUGCUCGUUAUUUAAAGGCAGUUUUCUGGCUUUCGUGCUGUAGAGAAUCUCCUGUGAACACAGAGCCCAGAUUGAAAGUAAAGAGCCUUCAUCCACCUCUGUCCUUGCACACCCGCCUGUCUCUGGAUCCAGCACCAAGGCAGAGAAGCCUGAGGUCCAUCCCUCAGUGGACGCCUCAAGAGGCUCCAUGAGAUGCUGCCAAUCAUCCCAACAACUCUUGUGUUCAUGUUCAGGUGGGUUUAGGAUGUGGGACUGGUUCAGGGCACUGAAAAACACAGUAGGAAAUGCUCCGUCUGGAGAAGACAGAGGAUGGAGUAGAUCAAUGUUAGCCUGACACAUGGCCCGUGUGAUGAUGCGGAGAAGAAUCAUAGCAUGGUUUGGGUUGGAAGAGACCUUAAAGCUCACCUGGUUCCAAACCUCCUGCCAUGGACAGGGACCAGGUUGAUCAGAGCCCCACCCAACCUGGCCUUGAACACUUCCAAGGAUGGGGCAGCCACAGCUUCUCUGGGCAACCAAGAAGUGAUGUGAAGGCCCAGGAAGAUAAGUAGCAGAAGCCAAAAUAGCCUUACUAGCUGGGAAGCCUCCCAGCAGCCCUGCCUGCUCGGGAGCAUUGCCAGCCUUCCCACCUAUACCCUCCUCAUCCCUGGGCUGAUGUCUCCUGGCUUCCCCUGGGGAGCAGAGAUGAUGGCUUUGACUUCCCAUUUCCUCCUGGUGUGUUUAAUUGCCUGAUUUUUUUCUUUUUUCCUUUAGGACUGGGAGGCAAGGGAGGAGAGGUGGGCAAAGGAAGACAGAUGUGUGGAGAAGAGACAUCCAGGUGACAGAUUGAGGGAUGCUACAGCCACAAGAGCCAGGCUGAUGGAUUGAUAGAUUAGACAGGGAAUAUAAAUAGCAAGUGUGGUUUAUCUAUCCCAGUUUUAUUUUCCUCUCACCUAUCUAUUUAUCUCUCCUGGUGUUAUUUUACUCAUGUUUAUCUCUUUAUCUGCCCAGCCCGAGGAUGGAGGAGAGUCGGGUGACAGAAGCAGGAUGGAUGAGUUUGGGUUACCACUGCUUUUGCAGCAUCCAAGCAGGCAAGUCUUGACAGGCGGGGAGGAUUAGGGAGCAGGCUCAGAUCCACACACUGCUACACUUUUCACACUCCUCUCCUUUUCCCUGGACCAUCCCCUCUGUCCACACCUCCUGCUUUGGGGAUGCUGUGGGUCAGAGGGUUGAUUCCUUCCUCUCCCUAGCUCAUCCUCAUCCUAGGAAUGAGGGCAUCCAGUGAAGCAGUGAGCUCCACUUGUCUGGGUACCAAUCAUUCCCAUCUGACAGACGGGCAGCUCCACUGCUUGAUAUUCCAGUCAGGCACUGAGCACGGCAGUGGCAGCAGCACUGGGAAGGAGGGAGAGAGGGAGGGAGCCUCACAGCACGGGAAAAGCCAGGG
Molecule: long non-coding RNA, 7930 nt
Organism: Pseudopipra pipra
Lineage: Eukaryota; Metazoa; Chordata; Aves; Passeriformes; Pipridae
Exons: 4
Source: RefSeq, a predicted model, not a curated record